RNAcentral lists this ribosomal RNA (497 nucleotides) under uncultured bacterium. RNAcentral's name for it is "partial 16S ribosomal RNA". It matches the Rfam family "Bacterial small subunit ribosomal RNA", at positions 28 to 507 of the family's 1533-position model. The record is from RNAcentral.
GAUGAACGCUGGCGGCGUGCCUAAUACAUGCAAGUCGAGCGAACAGAUGAGGAGCUUGCUCCUCUGACGUUAGCGGCGGACGGGUGAGUAACACGUGGAUAACCUACCUAUAAGACUGGGAUAACUUCGGGAAACCGGAGCUAAUACCGGAUAAUAUAUUGAACCGCAUGGUUCAAUAGUGAAAGACGGUUUUGCUGUCACUUAUAGAUGGAUCCGCGCCGCAUUAGCUAGUUGGUAAGGUAACGGCUUACCAAGGCGCCGAUGCGUAGCCGACCUGAGAGGGUGAUCGGCCACACUGGAACUGAGAAACGGUCCAGACUCCUACGGGAGGCAGCAGUAGGGAAUCUUCCGCAAUGGGCGAAAGCCUGACGGAGCAACGCCGCGUGAGUGAUGAAGGUCUUCGGAUCGUAAAACUCUGUUAUUAGGGAAGAACAAAUGUGUAAGUAACUAUGCACGUCUUGACGGUACCUAAUCAGAAAGCCACGGCUAACUACGUG